This 131-nucleotide non-coding RNA is filed under the name Streptomyces rimosus. The record is from RNAcentral. Lineage: Bacteria; Bacillati; Actinomycetota; Actinomycetes; Kitasatosporales; Streptomycetaceae.
UUCAAAAAGACAGCACACCGUCACACAGCGCCCCGCGGGGGAAGUCCGGUGAGAGUCCGGCGCUGACCCGCAACGGUAAGCGGAAGCCUGCUUCCGCAAGCCCGAUCGCCCGCGGGGGCGCCCGUUCCUGA